CUUACGCCAGCUGUAGCCGCACCUGGUCUUGCUGAUCGCCUCAAGAAAUUCGGUAUCAAUUUCUCUGUCAAUCUCUCC
Molecule: small RNA, 78 nt
Filed under: Aureoumbra lagunensis
Lineage: Eukaryota; Pelagophyceae; Sarcinochrysidales; Sarcinochrysidaceae
Description: partial transfer-messenger RNA
Source: RNAcentral